UGCCCAAUCCCACUAUCACAAGAGACUCUUCUUCAUCUUCAUCAUCUAGUUGUUCAGUGUUGUGUUCAGUGUUGAAUGUGAGUGCUGUGAGUCUCUCCUGGUAUAAAGAAAACAGUUUAUUGUCCAGCAUCAGUGUGUCUGAUCUCAGCGUCAGUCUUUCUCUACAUCUGGAGGUUGAACAUCAGGAUAAAAACACCUAUAGUUGUGUGCUGAACAAUUCCUUCACUAACCGAACUGAACAUCUGAACAUCACUCAACUAUGUCAAGACUCCAUUCUCUGUUGUGGUUUUACUGAUGUUGUAAUUCGAUCGGUCAUCUCUGCUGUGGUGGGCGUGGCUACUGUUUCCAUAGUGGUUUAUGACAUCAUAUCCAGAAGAGCUGAAGAGAAAAAGAGAAGAACAUCACAAUCAGUCAUUGAAUGACGAACCAUAAAAUCAUGGCACUUUUGAGUCCACAGAAGUCAUGAAAAAACAAUCGGUAUUAAAAAGUGUGCAUAGUCAACCAUGUAGUGUGUCAUACUAGUCAACAUUCGAAGUGAAUCAAAAAUGUUUUUCAAAAUUGUCUUAGAACAAGAAUGUGUGCUGUUCAAUAAAACAACUUUGAUGAAGGUGAUGAUCCACUGA
Long non-coding RNA from Danio aesculapii, 623 nucleotides. RefSeq lists it as uncharacterized. The record is from RefSeq and is a predicted model, not a curated record. NCBI's taxonomy places the organism in Eukaryota, Metazoa, Chordata, Actinopteri, Cypriniformes, Danionidae. The transcript is spliced from 2 exons.